Long non-coding RNA from Bolinopsis microptera, 228 nucleotides. RefSeq lists it as uncharacterized. NCBI's taxonomy places the organism in Eukaryota, Metazoa, Ctenophora, Tentaculata, Lobata, Bolinopsidae. The record is from RefSeq and is a predicted model, not a curated record. The transcript is spliced from 3 exons.
AGAGCACACUGAUUGACAGUAUACCAGUAGGAGGAGCUCAAUCCUUAUCCGGACAGGGACAGAAGGCAGUAGCGUCCCUCAAAUCGUUUAUGGAUCAGAUCAAGCUUUUGAAAGGAGAACGGGACGCACUUAAACAGAAGUUUAAAGCUGGUGGUGACACUGAAGAAAUAAUCGAGAAGUUUUCACAGCUGAACACAGAGUCGAAUCUGUUCAAUGAUGAAGGACUGA